UUUAGAAGUGUGGUCCUGUA
RNAcentral lists this non-coding RNA (20 nucleotides) under Arabidopsis thaliana (thale cress). Lineage: Eukaryota; Viridiplantae; Streptophyta; Magnoliopsida; Brassicales; Brassicaceae. The record is from RNAcentral.